This 425-nucleotide ribosomal RNA is filed under the name uncultured bacterium. RNAcentral describes it as "bacterial SSU rRNA". It matches the Rfam family "Bacterial small subunit ribosomal RNA", at positions 354 to 796 of the family's 1533-position model. The record is from RNAcentral.
GUGGGGAAUAUUGCACAAUGGGGGAAACCCUGAUGCAGCGACGCCGCGUGGAGGAUGACGGCCUUCGGGUUGUAAACUCCUUUUGUCGGGGAAAAUGGUGAUGGUACCCGACGAAUAAGCCACGGCUAACUCUGUGCCAGCAGCCGCGGUAAGACAGAGGUGGCGAGCGUUGUUCGGAAUUACUGGGCUUAAAGGGCGCGUAGGCGGUGGUUUAAGUCUGAGGUGGAAUGCUACAGCUCAACUGUAGAGCUGCCUUGGAAACUGGAUUACUUGAGUCGGUGAGGGGAAGGUGGAAUUCCAGGUGUAGCGGUGAAAUGCGUAGAUAUCUGGAGGAAGGUCUGUGGCGAAGGCGACCUUCUGGCACUUGACUGACGCUGAGGCGCGAAAGCGUGGGUAGCAAACAGGAUUAGAUACCCUUGUAGUCC